CGCUGGCGGCGUGCCUAACACAUGCAAGUCGAGCGGAGACAGUGAGUAGCUUGCUAUGAGCUGUUUUAGCGGCGGACGGGUGAGUAACGCGUGAGCAACCUUUCCCAGACAGGGGAAUAACACACCGAAAGGUGUACUAAUACCGCAUAAGACCACGGGAUCACAUGGUUCUGGGGUAAAAGAUUUAUCGGUUUGGGGUGGGCUCGCGUCCGAUUAGGUAGUUGGUGAGGUAACGGCCCACCAAGCCGACGAUCGGUAGCCGACCUGAGAGGGUGAUCGGCCACAUUGGGACUGAGACACGGCUCAAACUCCUACGGGAGGCAGCAGUGGGGAAUAUUGGGCAAUGGAGGAAACUCUGACCCAGCAACGCCGCGUGGAGGAAGAAGGUUUUCGGAUCGUAAACUCCUGUCCUUGGAGACGAGUAGAAGACGGUAUCCAAGGAGGAAGCCCCGGCUAACUACGUGCCAGCAGCCGCGGUAAUACGUAGGGGGCAAGCGUUGUCCGGAAUAAUUGGGCGUAAAGGGCGCGUAGGCGGCUCGGUAAGUCUGGAGUGAAAGUCCUGCUUUUAAGGUGGGAAUUGCUUUGGAUACUGUCGGGCUUGAGUGCAGGAGAGGUUAGUGGAAUUCCCAGUGUAGCGGUGAAAUGCGUAGAGAUUGGGAGGAACACCAGUGGCGAAGGCGACUAACUGGACUGUAACUGACGCUGAGGCGCGAAAGUGUGGGGAGCAAACAGGAUUAGAUACCCUGGUAGUCCACACUGUAAACGAUGAAUGCUAGGUGUAGGGGGUAUCGACCCCUUCUGUGCCGCAGUCAACACAAUAAGCAUUCCGCCUGGGGAGUACGGCCGCAAGGUUGAAACUCAAAGGAAUUGACGGGGGCCCGCACAAGCAGCGGAGCAUGUGGUUUAAUUCGACGCAACGCGAAGAACCUUACCAGGUCUUGACAUCCACUUAAACUUACAGAGAUGUAAGGUGUGCUUGCACAAAGUGAGACAGGUGGUGCAUGGUUGUCGUCAGCUCGU
Molecule: ribosomal RNA, 1020 nt
Filed under: human gut metagenome
Description: bacterial SSU rRNA
Rfam family: Bacterial small subunit ribosomal RNA
Source: RNAcentral